RNAcentral lists this ribosomal RNA (253 nucleotides) under uncultured bacterium. RNAcentral's name for it is "partial 16S ribosomal RNA". It matches the Rfam family "Bacterial small subunit ribosomal RNA", at positions 524 to 776 of the family's 1533-position model. The record is from RNAcentral.
UACGAGGGGGGCUAACGUUGCUCGGAAUGACUGGGCGUAAAGGGCGCGUAGGCGGCUUACAUAGUUAGGCGUGAAAUUCCUGGGCUCAACCUGGGGACUGCGUCUAAUACAUGUAGGCUUGAGUGUGAAAGAGGGUCGUGGAAUUUCAAGUGUAGAGGUGAAAUUCGUAGAUAUUGGAAAGAACUCCGGUGGCGAAGGCGGCGACCUGGUUCAUUACUGACGCUGAGGCGAGAAAGCGUGGGGAGCAAACAGG